GCAGUUGUGGCGGAAUUUGGUAUACGCGCUAGACUAAGGAUCUGGUGGUGAAUAAAAUAAACCUUGGGGGUUCGAGUCCCCCCAACUGCA
Molecule: transfer RNA, 90 nt
Filed under: Clostridiales bacterium
Lineage: Bacteria; Bacillati; Bacillota; Clostridia; Eubacteriales
Description: tRNA-Leu
Rfam family: tRNA
About the family: Transfer RNA (tRNA) molecules are approximately 80 nucleotides in length. Their secondary structure includes four short double-helical elements and three loops (D, anti-codon, and T loops).
Source: RNAcentral